GACGAACGCUGGCGGCGUGCUUAACACAUGCAAGUCGAACGGGCCCGCCCCUGUUUUUGGGGGUGGGUUGAGUGGCGAACGGGUGAGUAUCACGUGAGUAACCUGCCCCCUGCUCCUGGAUAACUGCUUGAAAGGGCGGCUAAUACGGGGUGUGCCGGCUGGUCCGCAUGGGCCUGGUCGGGAUAGUUUCAUCUUCGGGUGUUUCGGUGGGGGAUGGGCUCGCGGCCUAUCAGCUUGUUGGUGGGGUGAUGGCCCACCAAGGCGGUGACGGGUAGCCGGCCUGAGAGGGUGGGCGGCCACACUGGGACUGAGACACGGCCCAGACUCCUGCGGGAGGCAGCAGUGGGGGGUAUUGCACAAUGGGCGGAAGCCUGAGGCAGCGACGUCGCGUGAGGGAUGGAGGCCGUCGGGUUGUGAACCUCUUUCUCCGGUGGUGAAGGCCCUGUCCGUUGCGGCGGGGUUGACGGUAGCCGGGUAUGAAGCGCCGGCUAACUACGUG
RNAcentral lists this ribosomal RNA (499 nucleotides) under uncultured bacterium. RNAcentral's name for it is "partial 16S ribosomal RNA". It matches the Rfam family "Bacterial small subunit ribosomal RNA", at positions 28 to 507 of the family's 1533-position model. The record is from RNAcentral.